GGACUGAGAUGGCUCAGUCAGUAGAGCAUGAGAGUCUCAGUUUCAUGGUCAUGGGUUCAAGUCACAUGUUGGCCA
Molecule: non-coding RNA, 75 nt
Organism: Podarcis lilfordi (Lilford's wall lizard)
Lineage: Eukaryota; Metazoa; Chordata; Lepidosauria; Squamata; Lacertidae
Source: the annotation of a GenBank genome assembly